GUUUUGCUACGAUUUUGGGACUAAUUUCGCUUUGAUUUUGCCUUAUGAUUUCACUAUCACUUUAAUUUUGUGAGUUCAGGGCCAUCGGGGAUGGACCAAUCACUCUAGUCUCUUAGCAUUGAUUCAACCUCUAUGGGCAGAAUUGCACGCUGAACUGCACCACUAAUGUCGAACAACAAGUGACAAAGCUGAUGUUGAAGAUAUAGAUCCGUGAAUUCCUAGUUACAAGGGAAUAAGGGAUNGCAGACUCGGCAGCAGCGGCCGUGCGACACCUGCUGGCGCGCAGCGCGCAAAGCGCGCACGCACAGCCCUCGGUCGCGCCACCACGCCCCCUCCUCCGUCCGACUUCGUCCUCCCUCGCCCUACCUGGCUUGACCAGCCUCGGCGGCCCCCGGCGUGCAGCAGAACAAGAGCAGCAGCGGUGGCACGGCAACGCUCGACCGGGCGCACAGCGCUCAGCGCGCAAGCGCGCGCGCACGCGCUGCCCUCGGCGUGCACAGCCACCGUUUCGCCCUAGUUUAACUGCAGCCAUCCAACCCGUCCUCCGUUUAAACCAGUCUGAUCGUCGUCGUCUUCGUCUCGUUUUUCCAUAAUUACAGAUUACAACCGAAAAACAAAAACAAUUGAAAUUCUAAUCUAACCACGGAUUUUCUCGUGGUGAAAAAAACGAUUACAACGUCAAAACGACGUAUCCCACGAAUCAACAGACCACGAAGAACAGCAACAGUAAAAACAACGCACAUUAUUAAUCGUACAUAAAUUAAUAAUAGAGCCAAGAAAUUAAUCCUGGGCUCUGAUACCAAUUGAAGGAAUAUUAAACUGAAUUAAUGCUCCGUUUGCCCGAUGAUCGUUUCUUGGAUUAUUAUUAAUUCAUCAUACAACGAUUAAUCCUAACAUGCUCCUAUGAAUUUAACAGCUGCACAUAGGUGUUAGGAAUACUUACUUGAGAAUCGGAUGCACAGAUGUUGAUCGAUCGGUCGAAUGAAACAGACUCCAGUUCUGAUCUUCUCGACUGUAUCCCGCUCAAUUUCAACGUUGGAUGGACAACGAACUAGUGAAAGUCCCAAGGCAGAAAGCUCCCACACGUUUCCUGCGCCUCUACAGCUCUCCAAACCCUAAUUUUUAUAAGUGUGUUUUUCUGAGAGCUGACAGCUGUAUUUUAUAAUAAAUAAAAUACAUGGGGCGCCAGUUUCUAGGUGGGGGGCGAUUUCUGCUCCUUCUAGGGCUAGGAGACUUUGGGCCAGUCCAGGGACCAGAUACAAGGAAUAAAGAUGGGUCUCAAAUAAAUUAAUUAUCUAUGGUCAGCCCAGACCAUAAUUAAUUUAUAAAUAUUAGUUCAUUCCACUAGAGAACUAAUAUCGACUUACCCCUUUAUUACCGGUGAUGAGUCGGGGCUUGUAUUUAGACUUAUUAAAUCCCCGUAUUUAAAAUAUCCGACAUCCAUUAAUUAAUUAGAGCUCUGACAGCUUAAAUUAAUUAAUCUCUUUGUAAUCCUUAAGCAGUACCACUCAAACCUCAUUAUUGCGCCUGAACUUAAUCAACCUGCAGGGUUUAGCGCAAUAAACAUUAUUGAGCUUCUUAAGGGGAUAUCAUUAUCCUAUAUCGGAUACGGGUACUAAUACAGAUAAUCAAAUAUCAUAUGUUAACCGCUAUCACCCAAGAUACAGAGUAUUCAAGUUACUAUAUAACUCUCACUCAUAGUAUGUCAAAGUGAUAUACGAAUUAACAUAUAUAUAUGAAAUCUUAUUAGUAUUAAGAUCUUAUAAGUCACCGAGAUCUUUGAUUCUUCACUUAAGUCAGAUAGAAGAAUACAUCUCACUGUGGUCCUAUCAAUACGUUAUGACGUACCAGUAUAGACAAGUAGCCAAGACAAAUUAUUUUCAUCUAUACCGCAGCCUAAACCGAUGACUCAUCCUAAAGUCAUCUCGACUGUGAUCAUAUUAUAUCUCUUAAGGUAAAUCCAAUUAUAUGGUCUUCUGUGAUCUACAACACACCAUAUAAUCUACUUAUAUAGAGAUAAAGAACAUACAUAUGCAAUCAUGAACACAAACAGAUAGGAGAUUAAAACAGUGAACAUAGGAAUCAUUGUAUACAAGCAUAAAAGGUUCUUGCUUUCAGUAUACAAAUUCAACAGGUUUUGCUACGAUUUUGGGACUAAUUUCGCUUUGAUUUUGCCUUAUGAUUUCACUAUCACUUUAAUUUUGUGAGUUCAGGGCCAUCGGGGAUGGACCAAUCACUCUAGUCUCUUAGCAUUGAUUCAACCUCUAUGGGCAGAAUUGCACGCUGAACUGCACCACUAAUGUCGAACAACAAGUGACAAAGCUGAUGUUGAAGAUAUAGAUCCGUGAAUUCCUAGUUACAAGGGAAUAAGGGAUACCAAUCUCUGAUGCGAUAGGACUUAUAGCUGGGAUGCACUUUUUCUAGCCAUUGUUGGGGUUCAUUACUCUUUAUUCUCCAGAGCUGACCAUAUGUUUAUUUUGGCCUGGAGGAUGAAGAGGGCAACGCAGGGCGGUGGUCUUUGAAGGGAAUGGGAGCAUCAAGAGGGCAGCGCAGGGACCGGUUUUCAAGGAAAAAAUUUAAAGAAUGGACUAAAUACAAGAGCUGCGCAGGGGCAUUUUCCGUGGAGGGGGUGCAACGUUUUUUAGAGAAUCUAUUGACAAUGCUGUCUUCUUUAGCACUUAUGAGUAUAUGCGUUAUUACAUGCAUAAACCACUCAAAGAUGCCUCCUCUAAUCUAAGCCAUGUGAUUGACGUGGGAGUUGGGAUUGUAAGUGGCGGCCUUGGUGGGAUAGUCUGCUGGUCUGCUGUGCUACCAUUAGAUGUUGCGAAGACCAUAAUCCAAACUUCAGCUGACAAAAACCAUUCAAGAAAUCCAGCCAAGAUUCUAGAAUCGAGCUGCGCAGGAGCUAAACAUGAGCGUCACCCGCACUGUCCAUGCUUUGGGAAUCUCUUGCAUCAAGCUCCUAAGGUUUCCUCUACAUGAAAACUCCUAAUUCAUAAAUGAGACUUUGCCGUAUUCUUGCGUGGUGCAGAGAACUCUUGCUCUUGAUACUCAUAGCUGUUUUCAGAAACUCUCGCGGACAGAAAUAAAGGAAGUUAAGAGCUUAUGUUGAAGUGGUCCGAUGGACAGAGAUGAACACCGGUCAUGACAUGGGGAAAUUAUCGAUAAAUUUGUUACAAAAAAAGGGGCCAUUGCUAUCGCCAGCCCUGCCAUUUCACCCCGGAAUCAGAUACUUCUCUCAACUGCCCUGCGCAGGACUCUUUGGCGCAAUGGGAAACUUCUAGCUCUGCUCUAUAAGAGAGUGGGUAGCGACAAGGCUGUUAGUCUUCGACAGGGAGAAGCUCGAGUAACCAUGACUGGGCCUGAUUUGAUGAAAAAGAUUUCUCUUUCUUACAAACUUUCCUAGUUUCAAUCCUUUAAUUUCUGUUCACUUUUUUACUAUAAUCUCUUAUGGUUUUGUUCAAAUUUUGAUUCAAGGGUAUAUCAAAACCAAAGCAUUGGGCAAAAUUUGGUUGGUUAGGGGAAUUGUUAGCUGAAAGGGCCAGCUAAAACUCAUAUGUUAAGAGCCAACAUCAGCUUCAUACGUUGAUCGACGAGAUUAAGCUAAAGUGUACGAGGAAUUUCAGUGCAGAGUGUGGGUAGAUUUCUGGUGUGACCAGCUUGCUUGCCUUGAUUUUUCGACUCCGCAUCGAGAACAACAGGGAAAAGUUAUUACUAGAAGAUGUGGCAACAGCUUUGUGUCGUAUCGUAAAACCCGGUAUAUCAACACCAGGUAUGGUGCAAAGCUUGGUUGAUGACAGACUCGUGUUUACUUGCAGAAUUCUUGGGCUAAAGAACACGAUAUACUUGCGCUUAUUCUGGACAACUCUGUACGUUGCGGUGCCAGGCACGAUUUGUCCAAUGGGCAUUUUAACUUGUCAAUGAUUCUUUAUGUUUGAGGUUCCGCUUGGUACCGGCAGGAGAAAUAUAGUCCACAUGAGAUGGGAUAUUAUGAUUCAAGCCAUGAGGGCUGUAUUUGGUAGUUGAGCCAUGCGACUUUUGCUUACUACUACUUCCAUGAUUAUGGGGAAAUAGAUAAAGGGAAGUACACGUAUAUACAUGUUGCAUAUCGAUUAUGUGGACGACUGUGCUGACUUGCAUAGCUUGCUCAUUCAUAUUCUAAAAUUUGCUCAUUUUCAAUUGGUUUUGUUUUGAGGGUUAAGAUCUUGAAUUUCAUGUCUAACAAAUAAUGUUGG
RNAcentral lists this long non-coding RNA (4235 nucleotides) under Salvia miltiorrhiza (redroot sage). RNAcentral's name for it is "long non-coding RNA (SMIL_LNC005921)". The record is from RNAcentral. Lineage: Eukaryota; Viridiplantae; Streptophyta; Magnoliopsida; Lamiales; Lamiaceae.